GAUCAGGUAGGGAUACCCGCUGAACUUAAGCAUAUCAAUA
This 40-nucleotide ribosomal RNA is filed under the name Neofusicoccum parvum. Its description in RNAcentral is "partial 28S ribosomal RNA". Lineage: Eukaryota; Fungi; Ascomycota; Dothideomycetes; Botryosphaeriales; Botryosphaeriaceae. The record is from RNAcentral.